ACGCUCGACACCUACGGGAGCAGCAGUGGGGAAUAUUGCACAAUGGGGGAAACCCGUGAUGCAGCAACGCCGCGUGAAGGAAGACGGUUUUCGGAUUGUAAACUUCUGUUCUUAGUGAAGAUAGUGACGGUAGCUAAGGAGCAAGCCACGGCUAACUACGUGCCAGCAGCCGCGGUAAUCUGAGCGGGCUGGCAAGGC
Molecule: ribosomal RNA, 198 nt
Filed under: uncultured bacterium
Lineage: Bacteria
Description: partial 16S ribosomal RNA
Rfam family: Bacterial small subunit ribosomal RNA
Source: RNAcentral